GUGUAGCUCAGUGGUAGAGUGUUUGCCUAGCAUGCAAGAGACCCUGGGUUCCAUCACCAGCAC
This 63-nucleotide transfer RNA is filed under the name Heterocephalus glaber (naked mole-rat). It matches the Rfam family "tRNA", at positions 5 to 66 of the family's 71-position model. From Rfam's summary of the family: Transfer RNA (tRNA) molecules are approximately 80 nucleotides in length. Their secondary structure includes four short double-helical elements and three loops (D, anti-codon, and T loops). Lineage: Eukaryota; Metazoa; Chordata; Mammalia; Rodentia; Bathyergidae. The record is from Rfam by way of RNAcentral.